UUUUUGAUCCUGGCUCAGAACGAACGCUGGCGGCGUGCCUAACACAUGCAAGUCGCACGAGAAAGGGACUUCGGUCCUGAGUAAAGUGGCGCACGGGUGAGUAACACGUGAAUGAUCUACCUCCGAGUGGGGAAUAACCAAGAGAAAUCUUGGCUAAUACCGCAUAACACUUACGGGUCAAAGCAGCAAUGCGCUUGGAGAGGAGUUCGCGGCAGAUUAGUUAGUUGGCGGGGUAAUGGCCCACCAAGACGAUGAUCUGUAUCCGGCCUGAGAGGGCGCACGGACACACUGGAACUGAAACACGGUCCAGACUCCUACGGGAGGCAGCAGUGGGGAAUUUUGCGCAAUGGGGGAAACCCUGACGCAGCAACGCCGCG
Molecule: ribosomal RNA, 377 nt
Filed under: uncultured Acidobacteriota bacterium
Lineage: Bacteria; Pseudomonadati; Acidobacteriota
Description: bacterial SSU rRNA
Rfam family: Bacterial small subunit ribosomal RNA
Source: RNAcentral